RNAcentral lists this ribosomal RNA (440 nucleotides) under uncultured bacterium. Its description in RNAcentral is "partial 16S ribosomal RNA". It matches the Rfam family "Bacterial small subunit ribosomal RNA", at positions 338 to 795 of the family's 1533-position model. The record is from RNAcentral.
CCUACGGGGGGCAGCAGUAGGGAAUAUUGCUCAAUGGGGGCAACCCUGAAGCAGCAACGCCGCGUGGAGGAUGAAGGUUUUAGGAUUGUAAACUCCUUUUGUUAGAGAAGAUUAUGACGGUAUCUAACGAAUAAGCACCGGCUAACUCCGUGCCAGCAGCCGCGGUAAUACGGAGGGUGCAAGCGUUACUCGUAAUCACUGGGCGUAAAGAGUGCGUAGGCGGGGUAAUAAGUCAGAUGUGAAAUCCUGUAGCUUAACUACAGAACUGCAUUUGAAACUGUUACUCUGGAGUGUGGGAGGGGUAGGUGGAAUUCUUGGUGUAGGGGUAAAAUGCGUAGAGAUCAAGAGGAAUACUCAUUGCGAAGGCGACCUGCUGGAACAUUACUGACGCUGAGGCACGAAAGCGUGGGGAGCAAACAGGAUUAGAUACCCGAGUAGUC